GAACCUGCGGAGGGAUCAUUACACAAAUAUGAAGGCGGGCUGGAACCUCUCGGGGUUACAGCCUUGCUGAAUUAUUCACCCUUGUCUUUUGCGUACUUCUUGUUUCCUUGGUGGGUUCGCCCACCACUAGGACAAACAUAAACCUUUUGUAAUUGCAAUCAGCGUCAGUAACAAAUUAAUAAUUACAACUUUCAACAACGGAUCUCUUGGUUCUGGCAUCGAUGAAGAACGCAGCGAAAUGCGAUAAGUAGUGUGAAUUGCAGAAUUCAGUGAAUCAUCGAAUCUUUGAACGCACAUUGCGCCCUUUGGUAUUCCAAAGGGCAUGCCUGUUCGAGCGUCAUUUGUACCCUCAAGCUUUGCUUGGUGUUGGGCGUCUUGUCUCUAGCUUUGCUGGAGACUCGCCUUAAAGUAAUUGGCAGCCGGCCUACUGGUUUCGGAGCGCAGCACAAGUCGCACUCUCUAUCAGCAAAGGUCUAGCAUCCAUUAAGCCUUUUUUUCAACUUUUGACCUCGGAUCAGGUAGGGAUACCCGCUGAACUUAAGCAUAUCAAA
This 551-nucleotide ribosomal RNA is filed under the name Alternaria alternata. RNAcentral's name for it is "eukaryotic LSU rRNA". The stretch from base 187 to 340 matches the Rfam family "5.8S ribosomal RNA". Lineage: Eukaryota; Fungi; Ascomycota; Dothideomycetes; Pleosporales; Pleosporaceae. The record is from RNAcentral.